UCACUUGUCUAUUCCGGGGGAGAUAUAAGUAUUUGCACCGCGUAGUACGGGGGUUCGAAUCCUACGCGAGGCGU
This 74-nucleotide transfer RNA is filed under the name Asplenium nidus (bird's-nest fern). Its description in RNAcentral is "tRNA-Thr". RNAcentral also lists the same sequence under 1 other name. Lineage: Eukaryota; Viridiplantae; Streptophyta; Polypodiopsida; Polypodiales; Aspleniaceae. The record is from RNAcentral.